UACGUAGGGGGCAAGCGUUGUCCGGAAUUAUUGGGCGUAAAGAGCGUGUAGGCGGUCCGGUAAGUCAGCUGUGAAAGUCAAGGGCUCAACCCUUGAAUGCCGGUUGAUACUGUCGGGCUAGAGUCCGGAAGAGGCGAGUGGAAUUCCCGGUGUAGCGGUGAAAUGCGCAGAUAUCGGGAGGAACACCAAUGGCGAAGGCAGCUCGCUGGGACGGUACUGACGCUAAGGCGCGAAAGCGUGGGGAGCGAACAGG
RNAcentral lists this ribosomal RNA (253 nucleotides) under uncultured bacterium. Its description in RNAcentral is "partial 16S ribosomal RNA". It matches the Rfam family "Bacterial small subunit ribosomal RNA", at positions 524 to 776 of the family's 1533-position model. The record is from RNAcentral.